UUAUUUCUACCCUUUUGCUUCUUUUUUAUGCCAUUUGCAAGUAGUGGGUGAAGAAGGAACAACCACCCAUGUUUUUGGCCUGAAAAUCUGGGAAGUGGGUGCCCCAAAUCACGUAAUCUGUCUGAAGGACCAAAUCACAAAUACAGCAAAAUUUCUGGGGCUAAAUGUAAUUUUUAGAAAAUUUAAGGUUAAAAUGUAAUUUAAG
RNAcentral lists this long non-coding RNA (205 nucleotides) under Gossypium barbadense (sea-island cotton). RNAcentral describes it as "long non-coding RNA (GBAR_LNC009631)". The record is from RNAcentral. Lineage: Eukaryota; Viridiplantae; Streptophyta; Magnoliopsida; Malvales; Malvaceae.